UACGGGGGGGGCAAGCGUUGUUCGGAAUUACUGGGCGUAAAGGGCUCGUAGGCGGCCAACUAAGUCAGACGUGAAAUCCCUCGGCUUAACCGGGGAACUGCGUCUGAUACUGGAUGGCUUGAGUUCGGGAGAGGGAUGCGGAAUUCCAGGUGUAGCGGUGAAAUGCGUAGAUAUCUGGAGGAACACCGGUGGCGAAGGCGGCAUCCUGGACCGAUACUGACGCUGAGGUGCGAAAGCGUGGGGAGCAAACAGG
Molecule: ribosomal RNA, 253 nt
Filed under: uncultured bacterium
Lineage: Bacteria
Description: partial 16S ribosomal RNA
Rfam family: Bacterial small subunit ribosomal RNA
Source: RNAcentral